UGACUAUGAACACUUACAGUUUCUAAAGCAAUUUGCUGAAAAGCUUUCCUCCAAAAUGGUGCCAAUUUCUACCCCAAUCACCCAGAGGAAUGGGGGCGGGGGUCACUAGAACCCCACAUAAGUGGAAGAAGCAGAUGCCAUGAGGAUGAGAGGCUAGUGUCAGUAUAUACGUGACCCUUCUGUGUCGUACUUCUGUGUUUUUUACAGGGAAAAAAAAAUUCAUUUCCCAGAAUCAGCUGAUUUCAAUGCUAAUGUCUUGUCUCAUGGACAUAUUUGUAGUUUCUUUGCUAGUUCCCUUCACUCAUGGCAAAGGCAAGUGUGUGUCUUUCUUCAGGAUGGAAAUGGAAAUCUCCUUAGCUCCUGCUCCUGGAGUAAGACUGCUAGUGGACCAGCUCCCCAGUUGCAAGGCUGAUGGGAUUUCUCUGUGGGCAUAA
Molecule: long non-coding RNA, 434 nt
Filed under: Zalophus californianus (California sea lion)
Lineage: Eukaryota; Metazoa; Chordata; Mammalia; Carnivora; Otariidae
Description: lncRNA (ENSZCAG00015018303.1)
Source: RNAcentral